RNAcentral lists this ribosomal RNA (451 nucleotides) under uncultured bacterium. RNAcentral describes it as "bacterial SSU rRNA". It matches the Rfam family "Bacterial small subunit ribosomal RNA", at positions 29 to 524 of the family's 1533-position model. The record is from RNAcentral.
AACGAACGCUGGCGGCAGGCCUAACACAUGCAAGUCGAACGCUCGUAGCAAUACGAGAGUGGCAGACGGGUGAGUAACACGUGGGAACCUUCCCUAUGGUUCGGAAUAGCCCAGGGAAACUUGGGGUAAUACCGGAUAAGCCCUUCGGGGAAAGGAUUUAUCGCCAUUGGAUGGGCCCGCGUCGGAUUAGCUAGUUGGUGGGGUAACGGCCUACCAAGGCGACGAUCCGUAGCUGGUCUGAGAGGAUGAUCAGCCACACUGGGACUGAGACACGGCCCAGACUCCUACGGGAGGCAGCAGUGGGGAAUAUUGGACAAUGGGCGCAAGCCUGAUCCAGCCAUGCCGCGUGAGUGACGAAGGUCUUCGGAUCGUAAAGCUCUUUUGGCGGGACGAUAAUGACGGUACCCGCAGAAUAAGCCCCGGCUAACUUCGUGCCAGCAGCCGCGGUAAC